This 645-nucleotide ribosomal RNA is filed under the name Weissella minor. RNAcentral describes it as "bacterial SSU rRNA". It matches the Rfam family "Bacterial small subunit ribosomal RNA", at positions 63 to 680 of the family's 1533-position model. Lineage: Bacteria; Bacillati; Bacillota; Bacilli; Lactobacillales; Lactobacillaceae. The record is from RNAcentral.
CUGAUAUGAAGAGCUUGCUCGGAUUUGAAGAUGAACAUUGCAAAGAGUGGCGAACGGGUGAGUAACACGUGGGAAACCUACCUCUUAGCGGGGGAUAACACUUGGAAACAAGUGCUAAUACCGCAUAAUACUGAUAACCGCAUGGUUAUCAGUUGAAAGAUGGUUCUGCUAUCACUAAGAGAUGGUCCCGCGGUGUAUUAGCUAGUUGGUAAGGUAAUGGCUUACCAAGGCAAUGAUACAUAGCCGAGUUGAGAGACUGAUCGGCCACAAUGGGACUGAGACACGGCCCAUACUCCUACGGGAGGCAGCAGUAGGGAAUCUUCCACAAUGGACGAAAGUCUGAUGGAGCAACGCCGCGUGUGUGAUGAAGGGUUUCGGCUCGUAAAACACUGUUGUAAGAGAAGAAUGACAUUGAGAGUAACUGUUCAGUGUGUGACGGUAUCUUACCAGAAAGGAACGGCUAAAUACGUGCCAGCAGCCGCGGUAAUACGUAUGUUCCAAGCGUUAUCCGGAUUUAUUGGGCGUAAAGCGAGCGCAGACGGUUGUUUAAGUCUGAAGUGAAAGCCCACAGCUUAACUGUGGAAGUGCUUUGGAAACUGGAUAACUUGAGUGCAGUAGAGGAGAGUGGAACUCCAUGGGUUAGCG